AUGCUGAACGGGAGCCGCGAGGGUUUGUUUGAACUGGGCAGGCAGCUCCAGCAGGAAGGAGACUCACAAGCUGCUCUGCACUGCUUUUUGAGCUGCCUGCUGGGACUCACACAUGUGCAGAGCUUCCACUCGCUUCCCAACUGCCUGCAUCAGAUCGCUGAACUCUACAUUGAUGACAAGAACUAUGGGAAAGCUCUACAGUUUAUUCAGGCGGAGAAGAUGUUUUACGAAGUGGCAUUGAUCGAGCUCACCUCACUGCAGGCCAGCACAGGGUCUCAGGAAGACGGACCAUUGGGAACGUCAGGAUGUCUGUCUCAAGAGGAGUUAUCAGAACAGGCUUCACAGGCCCAGGAUCUUGAGAGACUGGCUCAGCUCUGCAUCAUGAGCAAAAGACCUCACCUUGCUUUAGAAUACAGUGGCAAGGCCACUAAAAUCCACCAGAGGGCUUUUGGUAACGAUCACCCUAUCACAGCCCGGAGUCUGGAGCUGCUAGCCACUGUCUAUGCAGAGAUCGGCAAAACAGAAUAUACAAAUUCAUUGGGAGAGUGUGUGUCGACUCUUUCCAAAAGGUUCUCAGCCACCGAGUCAUUCAGUGACGCUCUGAGUAGCAUCUCUCAUAGCCAUAAGGACAGACACUCUGAGCUGCGACACAGAAAAGAGCCAUACAUACAACAGGAAACUCCUAAAACAAAGGUCAUAAAUGAAAAACUGCCCACCUCUAUUCUGAAAAGGUCCAACAUGAGCAAUGUGGAGUCAGACUCAUUGCGCAAGCGAAAAACCGAGAGGCGGGUUCGCUUCAGAGAGCCGGAGAUCACUGUUCAUGUCUAUGACACUCCCCAGAGCCGUUUGCACCUGACCCUGCUCACCUGCCUGUUCCUGCUUCUGUCUGCGCUGGGUCUGGCACUGUACUGCACGGACCGCCGGAGACCCCAGCGUGCCUGCGAAGAGCUGCAGACGGCACUGGCUGUGUACCUGCUUCAGUUCAAACAGAUCGUCUUUGUUUUUUAUUGCUUUAUUUUCACUGUUAUAAUCAGACUGGCCACCAGUCAAAUUUUCUGAGGAUGUUCAACAUCCACCUCUUUUAUUUUGUGGCUGAUUAAAGGCCAUGUGCUUUACACACCAUUAAGGUAUGGUGUGCCUUUUUGCCCUUUAUGGUGGCAUAGCUAAUGCCACAUCCUCAUUAUACUGAGCCGUGUAUAUUUAGAUCUCUGUAUGUAGCUGUUUUUCCUCGUAUAGCGGUUCUGGGUGAUAUGUUUUAAAGGAAUAGUUCACCAAAAAUGAAAAUUUGCUGAACAUUUACUCAUCCUCAGGCCAUCCGAUAUGUAGAUGAGUUUGUUUCUAUAUCGGAACAGAUUUGUAUAAAUUUAGCAUUACAUCACUUGCUCACCAGUGGAUCCUCUGUAGUAAAUGGGUGCCAUCAGAUUAUCAGACCCAAAAUCAGUCUGGCUUUACAGAUUGUGCACACUGUAUUCUCUAUGAACCAAUGUAUCACAUUUUAAUGUCCAAAACUACUUCAUUUAUUCAAUGCUUUUAUUUUUAAUGCACUUGCUGUACAUAAUGUGGUUGAAUGUAUCUGUGGAAUGCAAGACAAUGCUAUUUAUUUAACUAAUAAUCAAAUAGGUUUAGAAUACAAAUAUGCGUUUUAUGCAUUAAUCAAACAUGUAAAUGACACUAAUUAUUGUAUAGAAUGUAUUUCAAUGUAAAUGAGAAAAGAGAACUGGCACAAUUGACGACACCUUUAGCAUUUAUCUACUUUACAAGAAACGAAGGGCAAAGCUGUUCUGUUAAGCACAAACAUUUCCAUCUGCCAUUAAUUCUCUCAGAAAGAGAUAUAAGACUGUUGAAGGAUGAAUUGGCCAUAUAUUGUGUCAUGCACUGCUAGAUUCAACUGGCAAAUGAAAGAAUGCCAUUUUAAAUAGCUGAACGCUUUAUGAUACUCGCACUAUUUAAGUUUCUAUUUUACAUAAACCUUUACCAGCAUCUUGGCUUAAGCCUAAUAAUGGUGCAUUCAUUUGUUUUACUAUGUUUUAUAAGAAGUUUCUUUUUCUAUCUUUUUUUA
Molecule: long non-coding RNA, 2059 nt
Organism: Cyprinus carpio (common carp)
Lineage: Eukaryota; Metazoa; Chordata; Actinopteri; Cypriniformes; Cyprinidae
Source: Ensembl